Molecule: RNA transcript, 7614 nt
Organism: Ornithodoros turicata
Lineage: Eukaryota; Metazoa; Arthropoda; Arachnida; Ixodida; Argasidae
Exons: 4
Source: RefSeq, a predicted model, not a curated record
UCAUCGGAUAUUAUUUUGGGACACGCUGUCCCUAACACAAGUGAGCUCCCCCAGUAACGUCCACGUUGCACCAGCUUUGGCAAUGGAGUUCUUCGACAAUGCACUUGGAGGCAGUUCUGAUGCUGAUCAUCGGCCCAUUCGAGGCACCAGCCCUCACAGUAUGAUCUACCUGUGGAGGCCCAUGAACGGUUUUUUCCUCGGCGACUCAUCGCUCCAUCCCCUGCAAGACAGGGUUGUCAUGCCGGGAAAGUCUUAUCUUUACCCCCAAAGCAUACUUGACAUGGGAAACACUUGGUGGGCAAAAUGGUAUACGGUGCUUCAAUACCCAAGAGACACAUGCUGCCUACCCUUACGACCCGUCACGAACAAGACGACAACCGCUCAUCGGCUAUCGUUUUGAGACACGCUGUCUCAAGUACAAGUCAGCUCUGCGAGUAACGUUCUCAUCUCGCGGACUAUGGGGCCGUUCCAAGCAACGGCCCUAGCAGCAACAUGCAUCUGUGGCGGCCCAUGAACGUUUUCUUCCUCGGCGACUCGUCUUUCCAUACCCUGCAAGACAGAGUUGUCAUGACGGAGAAGUUGACAGAGUUUUAUCGUUGCCCCCAAAACAUGUUUAACAUGGUACGUAUGCGUGGUGUUGAAUGCUUGAAGGCUUUCCUUCGAUAAGGUACUAGGUUACAAUAUUGGUUAUACAUCGGACAUUUUCCCUGAACAUGCCGUACAACAUAUCGAUUUCCUGCACAAAUCUGUGUGAUAGACGAGGAACACGCGUACAGAACAGCAGGCAGAGAGUGCACCGCGGCAUGAAUAUGUAAAUAAUACGAUUCUGCUAUACGCUGUAACUAUAUAUACUGCUCUGGAAGCUGUGCAGGAAUGUCACUCAUCGAUAAGACAUGAUAAGAGAUAUGCAUAGCACUAGAGACCUGUUGCGUGGUAACUAUAUUCGGGGUGAAAGAGAGAAGGAUAGAUCCACAGGCCAAAAAUUUAUGUGCUAUCCUUACUUAAGAAAACCCUAAUCGCUCUCGCACAACAUGAAGUACACGUCCUUUGUGUCAUUCCAAUUUAUUCGACACAACGAGAUAGUCCAGCAUCGUGAAGUCACGGAUUAUAUGUUGCACGAGGGUAAAGUGAGAGUAAAUCGAUUUUAGCUGAGAUGAAGAAUCCACUUUGUACGUACAUUUUCAUCUUAUUGUUAUGCCUGUUUUGAGGCUCGUUUUUAUGUGCGUGUAUUGGCAUCGAAGCGGACCUUGAUGGCGGAUAGGUACAUGCCUGUCCAGAGAGAAACGCUGCAUUUCGAAAGUAUACCGAUCAAGGUGAGUGAAACAUCGCCGUUCUGUUGACCCGGUGUGUUUUUCUAGCUCGCACUGUUUCCAAACGAGUGCCACACGUUGCACUGAGGUUUGAAAUAAAAUUGGAGAUCAUGUGCGUACAUGUACAGGGAAAGCUGCAGAGUGGAAACUGACCGUGGAAAAACAUUUACAAAGGCACAUGACACUCAUCAAGUUCUCAAGAGUAAAAAAAAAAAAAAAAUGGACGAGCUCAGUCGUGUCCGAUCCGUAGUGCUUUACUUGAAAAUGUCACGAUAUCCGAUUGCUCCUUUGCGGGAGUUGAAAUUUGUUGACGAAGGUGCUGGAGUUUCUUUUAGUAUCAGAAGGGAUACAGCGCCUGAUUGGACAACAGUAUUAUAACUUGCCUUUAAGUUGACGAUAGUGGGGUUUAUCUUGGUUCUGGUGAAAGACCCCUCGGUAGUUUCAUUUUAACUCGAACAAGAAUUCAACAAGGUGCGGAAGUCGUAUCUGUUGAAUUCAAACGAAAAAAAUAUAUGUUGGAGGGGACCUCGGACAAAGUAUAAAAACACGGGCAUGGUUCAUAGACAGUGGGCUGCUUACGGGCCUUCAGCCAGCUGGGAGUUGUUUUUGUUGCCUUUUAACGGUACUCGCCAAGGUACUCAAGUUUAACGGCAUCACCCUAUUCCACGGCAAUUCCACUUUCAUUGAUUUCACAUGCUUAAUGUGUAGCUGCUCUUAUCUUGCAGCCUCUGGGACAACGUGAAAUGGUGUCCUUUCUCAGACAUUCAAUAUGUAGUAACGCGCUCUCUAAAUUUUAGCAGAAGGAAAGACACUUCAUAGUUCUGAGUGGUAUAUUACGUAUUCGCAGGAAUGCACUUGGUGGGCAAAAUGGAACACAGUGCUUUAACACACAGGAGACACUUGUUGUCUACCAUCGUUGUUUUGUGGCUGCAAUGAUGACAUGUUUAUCGUCACGGUUUAUAUCUCCCACAGGUUGGGUUUGGGAUGAAACUGCAGAUUACUCAGUACGCAAGCAGCACAACGUACUGAAAGCCUAUAUGCAAUAGGUGUGGACGGCCUUGAUCAUAACCGUGAAGCAGAGCUGUACACGUUACCCCCCCCCCCCCAAAAAAAAGGAAAUAAAUACGUUACUCGUUCCUUCGAAAAAAUAGUAACUAAAUACGUUACCCGUUACUCACAAAUAAAAGGAACGCGUUCUCGUUACUUUGAAGUAACGAGUUACUUCUAUACGUUACAUUUGCAUACCAGACAGCAGAAAUACGAAAGCAUCGCCUAUCUGUAGGCUCGUUCAGCUGCCCAGAGGGCGCCCUCGCUCAUCACUACCAUCAGUGCCACCUGUGGUGGCAAGGAUAAGUUAUUUCCCGCAUUUAUUUCAGUUAUUUCGCAGUUUCCUGCAGUUAUUUUAUCAAGCAUGGCACACAUUCACUGAGGUAGGUCGAACACAAGACAGUGUUCGCGCGAUGACGUAUGCAAUCGCCAACAUCGUAUCCUACGCUCGUAGAAUAUGCUGGAAAACUUUUCCUCCGCCCGCUAACCAGGGAAGAAAGCCGGCGCCAGUGUCGCCGUUCCAAACUCUAGCCGAACAUCCCUAUAUCGCCUACAUAUGUUAUCUUGUAUGCUGUAUUGUCUCAUGUACACUGUCGACUCGCGCUUGCAUUAAAUAAGCCCAAGGCCAAAUGUACACCAUACGGACAACAGGGUUGAAGGCGGUGAUCUGUAAGAGGGAUUUUCAGGGAAAAAAACGGAGUUCAUUCACAAGGAGGCCUUCACAUGAUCAUUGACAUGAGUUCUCGAGUAGGGGACAGAGAGACAAAGCACUAGACGCCCUGAGCGCAGUGAAUACUUGAAAGAAGGGACACAUUGAGUGUGCUGAAACACUGUGGACACUAUAGAGUAAUGAAAAAGGCGUUGCUCUCUGGUAUCCUUUUCUCUUCGCUGGGGAUUUUUCCGCAUGCUUGAGCCUCGUGGAAUACCGCCACGUGCGCGGGAAAAACCACAACUGGCGGUCGUGGUUGGUGACAGUGAGCAAAAAGAAAAAAAGGAACGAGUAACUUGCAGUAACGCGCUACCAAUUUUUGUAACUAAGUACGUUCCUAGUUAUAUUUUUUGCAAAGUAACUAGGUCGUUACUUAGUUACAAACAGUAACGCGUUACGUACAGCUCUGCCGUGAAGGUAAAAAACAUUGAUAAGACACAUACCGUCCACCCCUAUUGCACUCGACUUUCAAUACAUUGUGCUUCUUGGGUAAGCUUACAUUACGUGCAUGAGCAAAACGUCAACAUUUUACGAAUGAUACGACAAAAGAACAAUUAUCCAGUCCAAUAUGACAGCGUGAACGCAUGACAUUACACACGUCCAUCAAUUCACAUAUAUAUCAUUCCACCUACAGAAUGCUACGCUAACGUCUCGUGAACACUUUUCAUGCGUGCAAAGCUUGGCAGGAGUAUGACACACGUCAAAACGCAUGCGAAACAGAUAAUCCAUCGCUAUAAAUUCCAAUGUGGACUAAAAAAGUUAUUCGGUGUCUUCCGUUGACACGUUUACACCAGCCAUUUAGUGUAGCACUAGGGAGUUUUAGUUCCCACUACGAUAACACGCCGACCGGUACGAUGUCGGAAAAACAGAUACGACUCACGAGUCGGUGGGAAUGAUUCGUAAAGCGCUUGUCCGCAGUUUUAGUUUGCAGACGAAAAGUCACCGAGAACUACCCACCGAUACGGAAAAUCAAGCGGGACGCCAUCUGUUCGCAAAAAUCUUAACUUCGUUUGCUAGUAUCCAGUUACAUUAUGCGCAUGAAAUGCGUGUUACAAGCAUUUGUAUCAACGGUUCUGGAAGACGUAAUGUUGCUAAAUGUUUCUCAACAGCUUUUGGUCGCAAAUAGUCUGCGAAACAAUGCACAUCUUCACUUAGGCUUAGGCGUCCAGACGAGGGAAAGUCACACAAGGUGCGAAGUACACACACUACGCCUCGUCAACAAUCCACUGUCCUUUCUUCAGAACGUCCGCUACGAUACCCGUGGUUGUCACCCAGCCAUGGUUUCGGGAAGUUACAGACCAAAAUCGUUCGCAGUGCACGCCGCAAGCGAACGAUAUUGUUUCUGUUGUUGUCAGCCAUCUUGUUUGUAAGUCAACGCUGUGCGCAUGCUCCAGCUGAGUGGGAGCACGAAAGCUCGCACGAAAGAAGUCCGAUAAAUUCGGAACGAGUGGGAUUCCGAUAUUUUUUCGUUCCCUCAGAUGUGUAAUCGGCGUAUGCCGGCACAGUUCCCCUGAAGUCGGCCCAUGGACGCAGCUAUCCUCCCCCCGAGCGGAUUCCGCUUGGUCUUCCACUUCACCCUUUCCUCUCCUCCUCUCCACCACCUUUCCCUUCCCGAGAAACAUGCCGCUUAAUCAGGCAGACCUCUCGGGUUCCUCCCAACGACACUCCUCCUCCUCCUCCUCCUCCUACUCCUCCUCCACUUCUGCUCCUCCUCCGAUAUUUUUCGUAGCCGAUAGAGAUCUCCGACUCAGUUUACGCAUGCGCAGUUUGCGGAAAGCUGAGUCGGAAGCUAUCGGAGGAGCAGAAGUGGACAACUAAAACUCCCCAAUAUCUCCUAUAAUCUGUGAAAGCUUGUUUCGGUCAUCAAUACAUAUCGAUAAAACGAGGGAUAUAAGGAUAUCUCUAUGGCUAAAGCUGGGCAUGACACAUUUACUGUGUUUAGUUUCGCUGCUGAUCGAUCGACGUGUGUACGUCGCUCAUAGCCACAGUUACUAGCACAGUGUUAACAUGGUACAAAAAAAUUGGGGCGGGCUCAGUCGUGUCGGAACCGUAGUGUUUUACUUUACUUUAGUACUUUUACGUUACGUUAAAGAAACGGUACGCGUGGCAAAGCUCGUUCGCCUCCAACGACACGGCGAAGCAAAACGUCAAACCGAACUUGGGUGUAUUUACGUCAAAAUAAAAAUAAAUAAAUAAAGCAAGUUCGGUGUUGAAUUGAAGAGGAAAGUAAAACAGAUUGUUCUAUGCCUUCGGGGGGCUUCUGAAUAACCUGGAGGAGACAUUUCAAGCGGUUUGAAGUCAAAUGUUUUCCAGUUAGCGACAAAUUGGCACGUUGUCUCAAUGCAGACAGAGAUUGCGCACUUUUCUAAUUAUUGUUCAUUAAUCUGUGGAUUACUAUUACAAGGUACUUUUCUUUCUCUGUACUGGACGGUAGACCUUUUCACAUUGUAAAGGUGUCUGGUGUCUGGCCCUUCAGCAAGAGGGAUGCAGCUCUGACAGUGCUUCUGAGGUUUAUUGCACAGUAUUCUUUGGAAUUCGUUUAUUACGUUUUGUGCGCUCUCGGUGUGUGAUGUUGUUAUUGUUGACGCGGUAGCGGACAUCUCCGCUGUUGCUAUCGCACUGUCGUUUAUGUUGAGCACAUGUUAUCGCUUCGUAUACAAUUGUGGCCCCACGACUACGUUUUGGCGGGUGCGUGUUUUACGACGCGUUUCUGUUCUUGCCACAAUCUUUUCUUUGUGCAUGUUUUUUUUUGUCUUUUGGAGUUACAGAAUUAGUUGGGUGCCGAAUUCAAUUUCUCCAUAUCGUUUUAAAUUUUGUUAUCAACUUAUCAACUUUCUCUGUGCUUGUGUGUCGUGUGUGCACGCGGUUUCAUUUUACGUUUCUACUUUAUAAUGUUGAUAAUUUGGUGGAUCGACAAAGGCCACAUAAAACAAGUGGAAUUCAGUACUGCAUAUACGAGGGUGGUUCCAUAAGUUUCCGGCCCGAGGUAGAAAAUGCGCGCGAAUUUGAAAAUGCGAUUAAGGACGCGUGGCGCCAUCUGUUGGAGCGCCGGAGCACCACCCUCAACCCUCUCCAUGCUUUUGUCGGUUGGAGAGCGGCAUUUCAAACAGCCAGGGUGCACUCCUCAGUUAAAAUGAAAAAAAAAAAAAAAAAUCGAGUACCGCGCUGUGAUAAAAUUCUUGACAAAAGAGGGACUUUCGCCUAAAGAAAUUAAAGCGCGACUGGACAUUGUGUACAGGGAAGCCCCUCCGUCGUACACAACGGUAAAAGACUGGGCAAAGCAGUUUCGACUGGGGCGAGAGUCCAUUGAAGAUGAUCCACGCGAUGGUCGUCCAGUGGAAGUGGUGACACAAGAAAAUUUGUCUCUUGUCGAGGAGGAAGUGCUGAGCGACAGGCGUCUGAAGGUGAAGGAAAUCUCAGAAAGGCUGGGGCUUUCCAAAACAACCGUUUUUUGCAUCAUCGGCGAGGGCCUUCACAUGAAAAAGGUCAGUGCGAGAUGGGUGUCACGACUUCUCUCGUCAGUUCAAAAGCAACAGCGCGUCGUCUGUGCCAAAGAGUUUUUGGAGCUCUGGAACGAAGAAGAAAUAUUGAAGUCAAUUGUCACAGGGGAUGAGAGAUAUGGUGCUCUACUAAGAUCCCCUUUCGAAAGAGGAGUCGAUGGAAUGGCGCAAACCAGGAGAAGCACCCCCAAGAAAAGCCAAGGUCACACAAUCCACAAAGAAGAUCAUGGCAACAAUAUUUUGGGAUUGUCACGGGACCCUCCUCAUCGACUUCAAAGAGAGGAACACCACAGUGAAUGCGACUUAUUAUGCUUCACUCCUGCACCGACUACGAGACGCCAUCAAGGAAAAGAGGCGCGGCAGGUUGAGUCGAGGUGUCCGGUUGCUCCAGGACAAUGCCCCUGUCCACACGGCUUCUGUUGCCAAGGCUGCACUGAAGGAGUGCGGCUUCGAAGAAAUCUACCACCCACCCUACAGUCCAUACUUGGCACCGAGUGACUACUUCCUGUUCUCAAAUUUGAAGAGGGAUCUCAGAGGACGGAGAUUUCAAAACGAUAGUGAGGUGCAAGGGCAGCUUUCCAGCAUUUUGCGGACAAAACUUCGGACUAUUUUUUCAAGGGUAUAAGAAUGCUGGUUGAAAGGUGUCAAAAGUGCAUCGAAGUUAAGGGUGACUAUGUCGAAAAGUGAUACACUUGUUUCGUCUCUAUGACUAUUAAAAGUUGGUCGGGCCGGAAACUUAUGGAACCACCCUCCUACGCUGCACGAGCGCACACUGUCCUCUUGCUUGAAAAGGUCUCUUUCUGUGUGCAUGUGUGCGUGUAUGAGCGCGCUCGCUUUCAUUGUACAUUUUGCGUGAAUGUACUUAGGACAUCCACUGUGACACCACAGCAUGUUUAAGAAUGAAAAGAGAUCGUCAAGCAAGGAAGGAAGAAGCUGAAGACAGAAAUCGUUAGCUAUUAAAAUAUAACUACUAUUGUUAUAUAAGGCUCUAACAUAGCCACCUCUUCAUACUGUGUGAGAAACAAUGCAAAUCAAGAAAUAAAUGCCA